UACAGAGGUCCCAAGCGUUGUUCGGAUUUACUGGGCGUAAAGGGCGCGUAGGCGGCGCGGUAAGUCACUUGUGAAAAUCUCUGAGCUUAACUCAGAACGGCCAAGUGAUACUGCAGUGCUAGAGUGUGGAAGGGGCAAUCGGAAUUCCUGGUGUAGCGGUGGAAUGCGCAGAUAUCAGGAGGAACACCGGUGGCGAAGGCGGGGUCUCUGGGCAGGUAACUGACGCUGAGGAGCGAAAGCGUGGGGAGCGAACAGG
Molecule: ribosomal RNA, 256 nt
Filed under: uncultured bacterium
Lineage: Bacteria
Description: partial 16S ribosomal RNA
Rfam family: Bacterial small subunit ribosomal RNA
Source: RNAcentral